Molecule: ribosomal RNA, 301 nt
Filed under: uncultured Enterococcus sp.
Lineage: Bacteria; Bacillati; Bacillota; Bacilli; Lactobacillales; Enterococcaceae
Description: bacterial SSU rRNA
Rfam family: Bacterial small subunit ribosomal RNA
Source: RNAcentral
CCGGCUGAGUCUGGGCCAGGGGGGCGGUGAAGACGGAGGGUGCGAGCGUGAAUCGUGAGUACUGUGCGUAAAGGGUGCGGAGUGGGUAGUGCAAGUCGAGUGUGAAAGCGCCGGGCUUAACUUGGGAAUUGCGCUCGAAACUACUUUGCUGGAGUGUGGCAGAGGAAGGUGGAAUUCCACGUGUAGCGGUGAAAUGCGUAGAGAUGUGGAGGAACACCAAUGGCGAAGGCAGCCUUCUGGGCCAACACUGACGCUCAUGCACGAAAGCGUGGGGAGCAAACAGGAUUAGAUACCGGUAUUC